UACAGAGGGUGCAAGCGUUGUUCGGAAUUAUUGGGCGUAAAGGGCGUGUAGGCGGUUUGCUAAGUCAUGUGUGAAAUCCCUCGGCUUAACCGAGGAACGACGCAUGAAACUGGCAAGCUAGAGUACCAAAGAGGGGGGUGGAAUUCCAGGUGUAGCGGUGAAAUGCGUAGAUAUCUGGAGGAACACCGGUGGCGAAGGCGGCAUCCUGGACCAAUAUUGACGCUGAGGGGCGAAAGCCAGGGGAGCAAACGGG
RNAcentral lists this ribosomal RNA (253 nucleotides) under uncultured bacterium. RNAcentral's name for it is "partial 16S ribosomal RNA". It matches the Rfam family "Bacterial small subunit ribosomal RNA", at positions 524 to 776 of the family's 1533-position model. The record is from RNAcentral.